Molecule: transfer RNA, 66 nt
Filed under: Glyptotermes angustus
Lineage: Eukaryota; Metazoa; Arthropoda; Insecta; Blattodea; Kalotermitidae
Description: tRNA-Leu
Source: RNAcentral
UCUAAUUUGGCAGAUAAGUGCGGUGGAUUUAAGCUCCACAUAUGAAGUUAAUAACAUCUUUUAGAA